Molecule: ribosomal RNA, 495 nt
Filed under: uncultured bacterium
Lineage: Bacteria
Description: partial 16S ribosomal RNA
Rfam family: Bacterial small subunit ribosomal RNA
Source: RNAcentral
GAUGAACGCUGGCGGCGUGCCUAAUACAUGCAAGUCGAGCGAACGGACGAGAAGCUUGCUUCUCUGAUGUUAGCGGCGGACGGGUGAGUAACACGUGGAUAACCUACCUAUAAGACUGGGAUAACUUCGGGAAACCGGAGCUAAUACCGGAUAAUAUUUUGAACCGCAUGGUUCAAAAGUGAAAGACGGUCUUGCUGUCACUUAUAGAUGGAUCCGCGCUGCAUUAGCUAGUUGGUAAGGUAACGGCUUACCAAGGCAACGAUGCAUAGCCGACCUGAGAGGGUGAUCGGCCACACUGGAACUGAGACACGGUCCAGACUCCUACGGGAGGCAGCAGUAGGGAAUCUUCCGCAAUGGGCGAAAGCCUGACGGAGCAACGCCGCGUGAGUGAUGAAGGUCUUCGGAUCGUAAAACUCUGUUAUAGGGAAGAACAUAUGUGUAAGUAACUGUGCACAUCUUGACGGUACCUAAUCAGAAAGCCACGGCUAACUACGU